AUAUUGGGCAAUGGAGGAAACUCUGACCCAGCCAUGCCGCGUGCAGGAUGACGGCCCUCUGGGUUGUAAACUGCUUUUGUACGGGAAGAAAAAAUGCUACGUGUAGCACAUUGACGGUACCGUAAGAAUAAGGAUCGGCUAACUCCGUGCCAGCAGCCGCGGUAAUACGGAGGAUCCAAGCGUUGUCCGGAUUUAUUGGGUUUAAAGGGUGCGUAGGCGGAUCUUUAAGUCAGUGGUGAAAGCCUGCAGCUCAACUGUAGAACAGCCAUUGAAACUGAAGAUCUUGAAUAUGGUUAAAGUAGGCGGAAUGUAUCAUGUAGCGGUGAAAUGCUUAGAUAUGAUACAGAACACCGAUAGCGAAGGCAGCUUGCUGAACCAUUAUUGACGCUGAGGCACGAAAGCGUGGGGAGCAAACAGGAUUAGAUACCCUGGUAGUCCACGCCCUAAACGUUGAUUACUCGUUGUUGGCGAUAUACUGUCAGCGACUAAGCUAAAGCGUUAAGUAAUCCACCUGGGAAGUACGACCGCAAGGUUGAAACUCAAAGGAAUUGACGGGGGCCCGCACAAGCGGAGGAGCAUGUGGUUUAAUUCGAUGAUACGCGAGGAACCUUACCUGGGCUUGAAAGUUAGUGACCGCUCCUGAAAGGGAGCUUCUCUUCGGAGCACAAAACUAGGUGCUGCAUGGCUGUCGUCAGCUCGUGUCGUGAGGUGUUGGGUUAAGUCCCGCAACGAGCGCAACCCCUUUCUUUAGUUGCCAUCAGGUUAUGCUGGGGACUCUAAAGAUACUGCCUAUGUAAAUAGUGAGGAAGGUGGGGACGACGUCAAGUCAUCAUGGCCCUUACGUCCAGGGCUACACACGUGCUACAAUGGCAGUCACAGAUGGAUGCUACCUAGUAAUAAGAUGCUAAUCCCAAAAAGAUUGUCUCAGUUCGGAUUGAAGUCUGCAACUCGACUUCAUGAAGCUGGAUUCGCUAGUAAUCGCAUAUCAGCAAUGAUGCGGUGAAUACGUUCCCGGGCCUUGUACACACCGCCCGUCAAGCCAUGGAAGAUGGGAGUACCUAAAGUCGAUAACCGCAAGGAGUCGCCUAGGGUAAUACCGUUGACUGGGGCUAAGUCGUAACAAGGUAGCCGUACCGGGUGUGGCUG
This 1146-nucleotide ribosomal RNA is filed under the name metagenome. Its description in RNAcentral is "bacterial SSU rRNA". It matches the Rfam family "Bacterial small subunit ribosomal RNA", at positions 361 to 1520 of the family's 1533-position model. The record is from RNAcentral.